CAUUGCAGGAAACCUUCCACGCCAGAAGCUUUGACCUUUGGAGGUACAGGACAAUCCCAGAUAAGCUUCCACGCCGGUCUUUCGCCAUCCGGCAUGCAACUCGUUGCACCACGGUCUGGAUCCUGCAUGAGACAGUUCAGGCCAAGGCGAUAAGCGCUCUUUACAGUGAAAUUACCUCGUUUUUCUGGAAACCAAGCAACGAAGUCGUCGUCAUUGUGUUGUGAGGGUUGGAUCUUUAGAAUUUCUGUUAUGUUUUCCUCUGUAAAGUACUACUCUAAACGUUGUAGGUUCCAGGCACCCUCUGGUAGCAGAAAAUCUGCAACCCAGCGGUACCUACAUCGUCCUUGGCUUGAUCGCGGGAGGUGGUUCGAUUCCCUGGGUAUCCGGGGAUCCCGCCAUGCACAUAUCUUCGACCCAUGAAUUUGCAAUGGACCUGUCAUCAAUCACAAGCAUCAUCCUUAAUGUGGACCAUUGUGUGUACACCAAAUUUGACGUCUCUACCAUGGAUACUGGCUGGAACUGUCUUGCUCGCCUACUGCAGUUGCUCCCUGGACCCUAACUUGAAGUCUUCAAGUGUGGAAGACUAAUCUACUCUGUUUGGUCUAGAUCUAAAUCUGGAGGUCUUUAAAGGUGGGUCUGGUGUUGGGUACUGGAAGGUCUUCCAUGUUUCCCAUCAAUUUGCCUUUGCCCUAUUCCCCUGGGAGAAGGCACUGGUGUUGGGUAUCUAUGCCCGAUUUCGCAGGUGCCCAUUUGGCCUAGCCCUUGAGUUCUAGUCAGUGAACGAUUGAACCAUGAAUUGCAGUCUUUUCUCCUACCUAAAUGUUCCUAGGAACAACCACAUUUACACGAGUGAUGCUAGCGUCAAUGUAUUAUCAGGGAACUUUUAAUUUAGACUUCAUAGUUAAAUAGUGGUCUCGGCUGACUAUUGAAGCUCUCUGCUAUGGUAAAUCUGUAUACGCAUAACCGCACAACAUAGUUGAAAUAAUUUUCCCCAUGUACAUUUUGACUGUCGGUGAGGUUGCUUUCAUUAUCGUCAAUCUGAGAAUGUAUCUAUUCUUCAUCUUUCGAAAAAUUUAAAAAGAUCUUUGGAAAAAGGUUUGUGUACCAAGAACCCCAUAAAUAAAUUUGAAAAAUCUGAGAAUGGUUACAACUAAUUAUGUUGUGCUUACUUCAACAGGUCAAGAGAUCCCCAGCGAUGCAGGUCAAUAAUGUGAGGACUGAGGAUGGCGAGAUGAGGAAAAAGACGGGUGAGAUGACGGUGAGCCUUGGCCACUGCCCCGAUUCACCGCCGCUGCCGCUACUGCUGGAAGUCGACCACCUGCUGGAGGAGAUCCUCCUCCGCCUCCACCCACUGCCGUCAUCCCUCCCGCGCGCCUCCCUCGUCUCCCAUCGCUGGCGCCGUCUUGUCUCCGAUCCCGGAUUCUUCCGCCGCUUCCGCCUCCACCACCGCCGGAAUCCUCCACACCUAGGCUUCUUCGAUGUGGAUUCCCACGACCUCCACUUCGUACCAGCCCUGGAUGCCCCUGAUCGUGUCCCGCCUGGGCGAUUCUCCUUGCAGUUCAACGAAGGUGACAAGUUCCAUCUCCUCGGAUCUCGCCAUGGCCUCGUACUCGUCCUCCAACCACCACGGAAGCAGCUCUUGGUGUGGGAUCCAAUCACUGCUGACCAACACCACAUUAACCUUCCCCCAGGGUUUGCAGGACCUGUGUUCGCGAUCCAUGGAGCUGUACUUCGCGAUGCCGUAGAUGCUCAACACUUCCAGGUGGUCUUGGUAGAUGUAGAAGCCGAAGACCCUCAUCAUAGCCGAGUGCUCGCCUGUGUUUAUUCAUCGGAGACCGGCGUAUGGGGUGAUCUCAUCUCGGCACCGCUUCCGCCCAUGGUUCCUUCGAGUAACCGUGUCGUCUUUGUUUAUCCAACCAAGCCGGCUGUGUUGGUUGAGAAUUCCCUUUACUGGAUCCUUGAUGGGGAUUUGGUUGGUAUUCUUGAGUUUGAUUUAGAGAGGAAGAGCAUAGCUGUGAUACAGCCGCCAGUAGAUGUGCUUACCAAAAGUAAAUAUCAAUAUACAGUUAUGUGGACUGAGGGUGGUGGGCUUGGUUUCCUCUUUGUGUCAAGAUCACAAUACAACGCACAAUUAUGGAAAAGGAAGACCAAUCUCGAUGGUGUUGCGUCCUGGGUGCUGGAAAGAACUAUUGAACUGGAGAAACUACUUUCCCUGAAUUCUGGGGCAAGAGUGAACCUGUGCGUAAGAGGGUUUGCUGAGGACAAUAAUGUGCUCUUCCUGGGGACACCUAUUGGCGUAUUCAUGAUCCAUAUUGAGUCACUGCAGUUCAAGAAACUUCCGGACCACACGUUGGUUUCUUGCAAUCAUUCAUUUGAAAGUGUCUAUGCAGCAGGUACCUGAGUUGCAUUGGGGUGGCUAAGACGCAGAGAGAGUUUUUGGGUGUAGUUUCUUCCAUUCAUAUGCUGGACCCGUAGGUUGACCUCAAUGUAGCAUGCGCCGGUGAGCUAUGAAGUGUAGCUGUGGGAAUUAUUAAACCUUAAAUUUGCUAACUUCCUAUUGUUAUCCGAUUUCCGUAUACAUUCCCAUCUGUCAUGAAGGUUGAAUGCACCUGCCUUGGUCUAACGAUUCAACCAGGUUCCUAUAUGGCUUUCUCUGUUAUAUUCAUGAAUAUGAAUAUGAAUAUAUAGCUCCUCGAACUUUUCGGUAUUCUUCUCCUUCCUUGAAUCGUUGGAAACAGUAUGGCUGAUUGUAUAUUGAACCUACCGUGGGAUCAAGUAAAUCAUUAUCUGUCA
Lolium perenne is the source of this 2793-nucleotide non-coding RNA. Lineage: Eukaryota; Viridiplantae; Streptophyta; Magnoliopsida; Poales; Poaceae. The record is from RefSeq and is a predicted model, not a curated record.